Non-coding RNA from Coturnix japonica (Japanese quail), 4009 nucleotides. Lineage: Eukaryota; Metazoa; Chordata; Aves; Galliformes; Phasianidae. The record is from RefSeq and is a predicted model, not a curated record.
CGUUGGGAACAGCCCGCUCCCACCGCGGCAACAUUUAUCGCAAAAGCAGGAAAUUGCUUAUUAUUAAACUAGCUGGCAAGGGAGCGGGAGCCGAUGCUGCUCCACACUGGCACAGCACUUACUUUGCUGCUUUCCCCGCCUCUCCUCAUUCCGCUCUUUCUUUUUCUUCUUCCCCCUCUUUCUCUCUCUCCCCUCUCUCUCUCUCCUCUUCUUUUUUUCAUUUUGGCUUCUAUUCAAAUGUGGGUCAGGGGUGAGCGGCUCCCAACGUCACAAGCUUGCAAGAUGGCGCUGGGAGGAAGGCUGUGAGAUGAGGAACAGGCUGGUAUAAACCGAGAGGACAGGAGAGGAGCAGGGGAAGCAGAGCCGCUGCUCCAGAUGCACUAAGAAGCGCCUGGUUCUCCAUUCUGCAUCCGUGCAGCCACGUUCUAUUGAUGGCCUGUUGUGAUUUCAAUGGAACAUCAUGGGAUGUACCUGGCACGUCGGGCAGCACUGGAUGGAGGUGCCUUUAGCCCAAUGUACCUGGCAUGUGGAAUUCAGAGUAUGUGGUGGUGGAGUCUAAACAGACUUAGAGGCCUGCACAUGACUGCCAGUCACAGCCACUCCAGAGAAGAGAGAGAAAGCAAUAAGAAAGAAGGAAGCCAGCUGUCAGAAGGAACAUCCAUGUGGACAAAGCCAUCCAGAUAAGUGCUGCAAGGAGGAACAGGGUGCUGAGUUCAGUGCAUCCUCAGGGACAGAGCCUGGAAACAAGAAGUGCUUGGAUGUUCUCAGCAACAGCACUAUGAGCUAGCUGCUGGCAAGAACUAUCCAUGGCAGCAUUCACACAUCCUGUUUCUCUUUCCGCCUUUUGAAGGUAUCAAAGCCUACACACGCACCAUCUCUCUUCUCUUAGGUCUCUUCAGGAAUGGACAUGGACCUCCCCUGUUGCCUAAAAAGGAUGAGAAAGGGAAUGGAACCUGAACUCACGGCCUCCUACACCUAAGUCAGCAGACUGCAUCCCUUUGUGCCAGCCAGCUCAAGGCCUUUGGUGAAAAACAAAAGCACAAGACUUUCCAGCAUGUUUAAUUAACAACCACAGGGAGCGUAAUACAGCCUCACAAAUGGAAUAACGUACUGAAACUGGCAAAAGAAAAUAACACAGAGUUGAAGUUUACUUCUGGAAGGAUGCUGAAUUUCAUGAGAACGCAACAUCAGCACUCAAAGCCUGGCUCUUGUAGAGAUGCCCAGCACCGCGCUUUGGAGCCAGCAUUGCACAGCCACUGCAGCACUUCAGCGCUGAAUCCACUGUUUCUACAUAGCUACCACACUGAAAGGGGCUUGAGUACAGCAGUAAGACUAAUACAGAACACUUCGUAGAGCUGGGUCCAGCUCAAAGUUCUUUAUAAAGUCAAACAUGUAUUUAGGUAGUUAUUACCAUCACAGUCACUCAGGUUCCAUCUUGCUACUUUAGUCAUACCAAUAUCACCACUGGCAAAGACAGGAGGCUGGCCCUGUUUCUUGUUUUCAACCCCAAAUGCCACUCUGAAGAUGCACAGGAACCACAUCUCCAAACUUCUGAAGUACCUUAAUACAUGAAAGAGUACCCAGUUACAUGACAGCAGGAAGACUGUGGUGAUAACCAUUUGGGGCACAGAUCACAUAGCUGGAGGGAUACCAUACUGAUGUAUCAUGCUGUAGCGGAGCAGAGGAAAGAAUCAGUAGUGAGAAUCUUUCACUUAGUGUAUCAGUUUUGAUAAGUCUGUUAAGGCCCUGUACCUAGCAACAGGAUGAGAUAGACUUACUACAGGCAAACAGCAAGCCUGCCAAGAGCAGCCUCCCGAUGACUUCAGCAAUGCGUUACUGUGGAGCUCUGGAGGGUAUGCAGUAUUACAGGCGCUCUCGUUUUGGUAACUCAAAUCCACUCAAUCAUUCAUGGGAAGAUAGCUCUCUAAUUUUUUCAUUACGUUAAGACUGACAAAGUCUCUGGAAAACAUAUUCAAUACUAGUCAUCAUAACACAGAAUGCUAUGGGCUGUGAACACAGGAGUUCUGUAGAUGACAGUGAACAAUGCAGCAUAGUUAGCUAAGCUGCAGUUCUGCAGUGUAGUUGCCUAGAAUAAGACAAAGAGGAUGCUAAAAAAAAAGAUGCCAUCAAUUCUGUAGAAAAUACAUACUUUAAAGGUUCAUCUACACAGAGCACUCUACACAGAAUCACACCACAGAUGUGCUGGCCCUGUCACUGCUGCAACAAACUUCUGCAGCCUCUGCUGGCUGUCAGUUCAGUAAGCAUCUGCAAACAUUACUAUCAGAACUGGAGCCCCAGAACAACACCAUGUGAUUUUCUGUGCAGUGCUCUAAGUCAUUAGAACUGGGUGAAAGUACUGCUAAAUUCAUGUUUUGUUCAUUGCACAUUGUCCUUCAGCAGCUUUCAAUCAUUUACAAAGACAGCAAUGUUUUAGGGAAGAGCAAGUCUGCCUCUUUCUCUAGCAUUCGCUGUCACCUUUUCUGCUCUCUGGUCUUGCUCCUGUACUAGAUGAGCGCUUUCAAAAAGCUGCCUGACACAUGGCAAGCACUUUGCCUGGUUUGCAAGAAAUGUGUUGUUUUAACAGAGUGGUGAUCUGUGAAAUUCUCAUCCUCGUGCACCAAUGCAACCCCAUAGAAGACUAGGGGAAAUCUGCUCUCAGUAAAGCACAGAAGCAGGUGAUGGCUCAUGGAGAUCUUCAGAAGAAAGACAUGACCAAGGCACUAGCUGUCAUCCUCUUUAUGCUGGACUCUGGGAUGUUUCAGCUUAGGACCUGAGCUUGACAGGCACGUCCUUUGAACUCCCCUGUACCCAGCAUGUCUUUCUGGGCCACGGGCACAUUCAGACAGGCUACCCUGACACUUCACAAACAGCUAGACGGCCUCCACUGCCUGUGCCUUGGGAACAUCCACUCACCUAGUUAAUCCCAAAGUUCAAGGGGGAUCAAAGUGCACAGAAUUUUUAACAGUGGUGCCAGGUUCAAGUGGGCCCUGAUACAAGGACAUUAACUACUGAGCCAGGAUGAGAAAAGCAGAGAAAAGUAGCAGAGGUCUGACCCAGGGUGGCACACAAUGAGCCACCCCAGGAGGCUGGAGCCUGUUCAGGGACAUCUGGUCCUAAGAGCCACACUAACCUCCCCUCCCUCUUUCCUCCUUUCCCUCCCUCCUGCUGCAUAUUCCCCCUUCAUCUCUGGCAAAAAAACUGGCUUCCUGCAGUCACAAGGAGGAGCAAUUACCAUAUGGGCUUGCCGCUAGGAGACAAGAGGGACGCUCAACAUAGCAGAUGGAUCAGGGUGAAUCAUGCAGGGAAGAACAGAUUCUCCCCAUAUCUCCCUGCUUCCUCUGCCAGAUAUUUAGGAAUUCCUGCCCAGUUUUAUUACACACAAGAUGAACCUUAUUGUCAGCUCUUACUGCCUCAAGCCAGAGAGGUAUUUUUGUUGGGCUAUGCUUCUCCCUCCAGCCCCACACUCCCCAAAGCCACAGACACAGGCUCAGACCAACUAACAGAAGUACCCAGAGGAGAAACCCCAUCAUGCAGCCCCUCUUCCCCUCUCCAUUCAUCACUGUCAAGCUCCAAUAAUGGAACAUUUGCAUCCUUGAUUUCCCACAGUAGCUCCCCCAACUCCCCUAAAAUUAGCAGUCCACCUAUAUUUACACAAAAACAUAUCUGCUAUACGUCUGCUUGUAAUGAAGGCUGCAGAGGGAGGGCAGAGCAGGAAAGCGUGAUUUAUCUCUCCUGGUGCUCCACAAACAUUUCUGGCCCUGAGUAGCAAUACCAGCUUUCAUUCUUCAUGUUCUCCAUCAUCCUCCACAGUGUAAUGAAGCCAAGCAGUGGUACUGCUGUUACUGGGAGUUUGUUCUCUUUGUUUGCAUCAUUAUCACUUCUCUCCCUCCUUUGUGAGCCUUCAAAUGGUAGUAUGCAGGCAUGGCUAACCAGUUGCCAUAGCAAUCCACUGGAGUCCUUGUCAUAUUGCAGGAAGUAAUAUGAAAAAAAAAAAAAGCUGGAUUGUAAC